RNAcentral lists this ribosomal RNA (204 nucleotides) under uncultured bacterium. Its description in RNAcentral is "partial 16S ribosomal RNA". It matches the Rfam family "Bacterial small subunit ribosomal RNA", at positions 524 to 727 of the family's 1533-position model. The record is from RNAcentral.
GACAGAGGGUGCAAACGUUGUUCGGAAUUACUGGGCGUAAAGCGCGUGUAGGCGGCUCUGCAAGUCGGAUGUGAAAGCCCUCGGCUCAACCGAGGAAGUGCACCCGAAACUGCAGAGCUAGAGUCUCGGAGAGGAUCGUGGAAUUCUCGGUGUAGAGGUGAAAUUCGUAGAUAUCGAGAGGAACACCGGUGGCGAAGGCGGCGA